This 478-nucleotide ribosomal RNA is filed under the name uncultured bacterium. RNAcentral's name for it is "partial 16S ribosomal RNA". It matches the Rfam family "Bacterial small subunit ribosomal RNA", at positions 28 to 507 of the family's 1533-position model. The record is from RNAcentral.
GAUGAACGCUAGCGGCAGGCUUAACACAUGCAAGUCGAGGGGUAUUUAUCUUCGGAUAGAGAGACCGGCGCACGGGUGCGUAACGCGUAUGCAAUCUACCUUUUACAGAGGGAUAGCCCAGAGAAAUUUGGAUUAAUACCUCAUAGUAUAUAGACUCGGCAUCGAGAUUAUAUUAAAGUCACAACGGUAAAAGAUGAGCAUGCGUCCCAUUAGCUAGUUGGUAAGGUAACGGCUUACCAAGGCUACGAUGGGUAGGGGUCCUGAGAGGGAGAUCCCCCACACUGGUACUGAGACACGGACCAGACUCCUACGGGAGGCAGCAGUGAGGAAUAUUGGACAAUGGGCGCAAGCCUGAUCCAGCCAUGCCGCGUGCAGGAGGACGGUCCUAUGGAUUGUAAACUGCUUUUAUACGAGAAGAAACACUGCUACGUGUAGCAGCUUGACGGUAUCGUAAGAAUAAGGAUCGGCUAACUCCGUG